Long non-coding RNA from Leptopilina boulardi, 2432 nucleotides. RefSeq lists it as uncharacterized. The record is from RefSeq and is a predicted model, not a curated record. NCBI's taxonomy places the organism in Eukaryota, Metazoa, Arthropoda, Insecta, Hymenoptera, Figitidae. The transcript has 2 exons.
CACUUUUUUCCGAAUUUUCAUGUUUUUUGUACUAUAACUAUAUUAAAUUUAAUGCCAAUCGGGUUCGCUAUAAUUUUCUUUUAAUCUACUCGCGAAAAUACGCAGGUAUACCAAAUUUGAGGUAUACUAAAUUUGAGCAUCGUAGCUCCAAAACUUUGAAAGUAAAGGGGAGGACAUAGUUUUUUCUGAAGUUUCGAGUUUUUGUAUACUAUAACUAUAUUAAAUUCAAUGCCAAUCGGGUUCGCUAUAACUUUCAAUUAAUCUACUCGCGAAAAUACGUAUUGAGCAUUGUAGCUCCUAAACUCUAACAGUCAAGGGGGGACACACUUUUUUCCGAAUUUUCAUGUUUUUUGUACUAUAACUAUAUUAAAUUUAAUGCCAAUCGGGUUCGCUAUAAUUUUCUUUUAAUCUACUCGCGAAAAUACGCAGGUAUACCAAAUUUGAGGUAUACUAAAUUUGAGCAUCGUAGCUCCAAAACUUUGAAAGUAAAGGGGAGGACAUAGUUUUUUCUGAAGUUUCGAGUUUUUGUAUACUAUAACUAUAUUAAAUUCAAUGCCAAUCGGGUUCGCUAUAACUUUCAAUUAAUCUACUCGCGAAAAUACGUAUUGAGCAUUGUAGCUCCUAAACUCUAACAGUCAAGGGGGGACACACUUUUUUCCGAAUUUUCAUGUUUUUUGUACUAUAACUAUAUUAAAUUUAAUGCCAAUCGGGUUCGCUAUAAUUUUCUUUUAAUCUACUCGCGAAAAUACGCAGGUAUACCAAAUUUGAGGUAUACUAAAUUUGAGCAUCGUAGCUCCAAAACUUUAAAAGUAAAGGGGAGGACAUAGUUUUUUCUGAAGUUUCGAGUUUUUGUAUACUAUAACUAUAUUAAAUUCAAUGCCCAUUGGGUUCGCUAUAACUUUCCUUUAAUCUACUCGCGAAAAUACGUAUUGAGCAUUGUAGCUCCUAAACUCUAAAAGUCAAGGGGGGACACACUUUUUUCCGAAUUUUCAUGUUUUUUGUACUAUAACUAUAUUAAAUUCAAUGCCAAUCGGGUUCGCUAUAACUUUCCUUUAAUCUACUCGCGAAAAUACGUAUGUAUACCAAAUUCGAGCCCAAUCGGUUAAAGCGGCUAGAUUUUAGAGGGGGGUAACAGGAUUUUGUGGACGGCAAUGAGUGAAAGCAUAAGGGUUCCAUUUCGGUUGACUGUUGCAAGUUACUGUGCUGACUGGGUAAAGUAGUGAAUAUCCGCCAUACUUAUAAAAUAUUUCUAUCAAUGUUAAUUUGAUGAAUUUCGUUUGUAUGAAUGUAUUAUAAAUCGCAUGAAAAAUUGAAAAUUAGGGACCGAAUUAGUGCAGAAGACGAAUGAUGCCGUGCUAAACCGAGACUAGAAUACUGUAGAAUGAAUGUAAAAUAUAGUUACUAGUAGAGAUUUGAGUAUAAUAUUAUUUUUCAUUAUUUUUUCAUUUUGCAUCUUAUAUUGUUUUCAUCAAGUGUCAUUUUCAACUAUUACAUAAUGUUACUCUUAUUGUUCCUAUUUAAUAUUUUCUUGUGUUGACUGAGUUUUAAAUUAAUUAUAAGAUGAAUUAUUCCUUAUUUUUCUGAACCUGACCUCACUAUCUGCACUAAUACGGCCCCAUUGUUAUAAUCAAAAUGAUAUUAAUGUAUAUAUAAUAGACGUAAAAUCUUAUAUAGAAGUGCGAAGUCUCAUAACUCAGGGCAGUGAAUCACGAUUACCAGUAUGUACUAUACCCUCAUGCAGGGUUGCCAGAUCGUGCGAUCUGGCAACCCUGCACGGGGAAGGUUUUUGAGAAUGUUUCAGGCUAGAAAACUUUGGCAAAGGGAUAGUCAACACCUUAAAAUAUUUAUUCCCCAGGAUUUUAAAUCGUUUUUUUAUUAUUAUUUGUUUUAGCGACUAAAUUAUGUCAGACUACGCAAAAGAUAAGUAUCAUUCAAUAGAAUGUAUAUAAUUGUUGAAAACUAUUAUGUAAUUGAAUUCAAAUUACCUUUUUUAAUUGCAGUAAGAAAAAACGUUUAAUACGAAAUAAGUAUUUAUUAAACCGGUAGCAGAAAGGCAUAUUUAUCCACAGGAAGACUUGUCGCAACUAUUGUAAAAAUUUAAAUCCAAGGACUUGAUGUAAAAUAAAUUGACAGUGGAGUUUGGCAAUUUGCUGGAAAGCAUAAAAAUGUUUACAGCUUAUUCAAAUAUUGCGUAAGAGUAUAGGUCAUACAAAUGACGGGCACUCUUGAUGUGAUGAAAAGAAGCCCUUUCUUCGGAAUUCCACUGCCAACCUUGCAAGUUUCUUCGGAAAAUCGGUACCAUGAAAAGAAAAGAAAACCCAAAAGCUAUUUUUCUCUAUUAAAGAAAUUUAUGAAUUAUAUAUUGUAGUAUUAGACAUAUUUGUAUAAUUUAUUUUUAUUCAUUAUAUAUUAUUAUUUACUGUUUUAACAAA